UCCGGUUGAUCCUGCCAGAGGUCACUGCUAUCGGGGUUCGAUUAAGCCAUGCGAGUCGAGAGGGUUCGGCCCUCGGCGUACUGCUCAGUAACACGUGGAUAACCUGCCCUAGGGGAGGGGAUAACCCCGGGAAACUGGGGAUAAUACCCUAUAGGUUACAGAUGCUGGAAUGCCCUGUAACCAAAAGCUCCGGCGCCCUAGGAUGGAUCUGCGGCCGAUUAGGUUGUUGUUGGGGUAACGGCCCAACAAGCCCGUAAUCGGUACGGGUUGUGGGAGCAAGAGCCCCGGAGUUGGAUUCUGAGACACGAAUCCAGGCCCUACGGGGCGCAGCAGGCGCGAAACCUUUACAAUGCGGGCAACCGUGAUAAGGGAACCUCGAGUGCCUGUAAACGCAGGCUGUUCAGGUGUUUAAAACGCACCUGGAGAAAGGGCCGGGCAAGACCGGUGCCAGCCGCCGCGGUAAUACCGGCGGCUCGAGUGGUGGCCGCUUUUAUUGGGCUUAAAGCGUUCGUAGCUGGGUUGUUAAGUCUCUUGGGAAAUCUGGCGGCUUAACCGUCAGGCGUCUAAGGGAUACUGGCAAUCUUGGAACCGGGAGAGGUGAGGGGUACUUCGGGGGUAGGGGUGAAAUCCUGUAAUCCUCGAGGGACCACCUGUGGCGAAGGCGCCUCACCAGAACGGCUUCGACAGUGAGGGACGAAAGCUGGGUGAGCAAACCGGAUUAGAUACCCGGGUAGUCCCAGCCGUAAACGAUGCGCGUUAGGUGUAUCGGUGACCACGAGUUACCGAGGUGCCGAAGGGAAACCGUGAAACGCGCCGCCUGGGAAGUACGGUCGCAAGGCUGAAACUUAAAGGAAUUGGCGGGGGAGCGCCACAACGGGUGGAGCCUGCGGUUUAAUUGGACUCAACGCCGGGAAGCUCACCGGAUAAGACAGCUGAAUGAUUGCCGGGCUGAAGACUCUGCAUGACUAGCUGAGAGGAGGUGCAUGGCCGUCGUCAGUUCGUACUGUGAAGCAUCCUGUUAAGUCAGGUAACGAGCGAGACCCA
RNAcentral lists this ribosomal RNA (1044 nucleotides) under unidentified archaeon. RNAcentral describes it as "bacterial SSU rRNA". It matches the Rfam family "Archaeal small subunit ribosomal RNA", at positions 1 to 1054 of the family's 1478-position model. The record is from RNAcentral.